GACAGAGGGUGCAAACGUUGCUCGGAAUUACUGGGCGUAAAGCGCGUGUAGGCGGUCACGCAAGUCAGGUGUGAAAGCCCAGAGCUCAACCCUGGAAGUGCACAUGAUACUACGUGGCUGGAGUACUGAAGAGGAGAGCGGAAUUCCCGGUGUAGAGGUGAAAUUCGUAGAUAUCGGGAGGAACACCAGUGGCGAAGGCGGCUCUCUGGGCAGAUACUGACGCUGAGACGCGAAAGCGUGGGUAGCAAACAGG
This 253-nucleotide ribosomal RNA is filed under the name uncultured bacterium. RNAcentral's name for it is "partial 16S ribosomal RNA". It matches the Rfam family "Bacterial small subunit ribosomal RNA", at positions 524 to 776 of the family's 1533-position model. The record is from RNAcentral.